ACUUAUAUUGCCCAAUAAGUUAUUCAUUUAUAUCAUUAUAUUUACUGUUCAAACAUACUAGUCAAUGUUAUUUUUUUUUCAGGUCUGGCGCAGUGGCUCACGCCUCUAAUCCCAGCACCCUGGGAGGCCAAGGCAGGUGGAUCACCAGAGAUCAGGAGUUUGAGACUAGCUUGUACAACAUGGCGAAACCCCAUCUCUACUAAAAAUAAAAUAAAUAAAUAAAUAAAUAAAUUAGCCAGAGAUGGUAGCAGGCCAUUUUAUUUCAUUUCCACUUCACAAAUCCAACAUAGUUAAUCGGGUUUGAUAUUAAUGAGCCUGUACAGCUAAAACAUGGAAAUAUAAUAACUACUGUUGAUCAAUCUUUCAGCUACUUUUUUAUAUCUGUCUCAAGAACUCCAUCUCAAAGAGUAAAUUCAUAUUAUGAAGACUUUAUUCAUAAAGCAGCAGAAGUUUGGGGUUACUCAUUAUGUUAUGCCUCCUACUAACAUAGGACAUUUUGGAGAAGGAAUUCUACUACGAUUUUCCAGGAAACAUGAACUUCUGAGCCAUCUGAGACAAUACCAUCCGCUUGGACUUCCUUGACAUGAACAGAGACAUACGUGAAACUUCAAUUCAGUGAACUUGAAAGGGCACUGGAAUCUUGAUCUCCAUCUUGGUGAUGAAUUUUGGAAAAAGCUAAUUGUACAUUUAAGAUCCAGGGCUAAAUAUUGACCAUGUGACUUGGUAACUUCUGUAAGACUCAGUUUCCAAGUGAGGAACAUCCUUCUAAUGGGAAGUUCUCAAUAAAAGAAAGUAGUUUUCAUAUUUUUUGACUCCA
Molecule: long non-coding RNA, 817 nt
Filed under: Piliocolobus tephrosceles (Ugandan red Colobus)
Lineage: Eukaryota; Metazoa; Chordata; Mammalia; Primates; Cercopithecidae
Description: lncRNA (ENSPTEG00000029722.1)
Source: RNAcentral